Glycine soja is the source of this 2397-nucleotide RNA transcript. It is a transcript of the gene named GTPase Der-like, with no coding region annotated. The transcript is spliced from 12 exons. The record is from RefSeq and is a predicted model, not a curated record. NCBI's taxonomy places the organism in Eukaryota, Viridiplantae, Streptophyta, Magnoliopsida, Fabales, Fabaceae.
CCUCCAGUGUCCCAAGAUCACUGCCUCCACAUUCCACCACAACACUCGAAGCUCCUAUCUCAAAUAUUAACCGAAAGUUAAGAACUUUCGAACAUUCCAUGACGAGGUUAAGUUUCUAAACCUUAUCUUCAGGGAACUCAAACCGUGUCUGACCCUGUUAUUUGCUUCGUUGCACAUAAAAUUCAUGUGGGGUGUUGAUUUUAGUGUUUUUUGAGAAAAAAGUUUAACUGAUUUUAGCAUUGUUCAAAAUGCCUUCUGAGGAUAGUUUAAGGCAGAGGCUAAAAAAGAAGGCUACUAAACCUGUAGUAAGCACUUCUAGGAACUCUAUUAGAACUAAGAAGAAUGAAAAUUCUUUUGAGAAAAAUGGGGUUUGUGAUAGAGGAAAUGGGUCUGAGGGGAAGUUGAAGAAAAGGGUGAAGGUUAAAGGAAUGCAAUGUGGUGGAGAAGUUGAGGAGAGGGGAAAGUUGAGGACUUUGGAUUCUGGUGGGAAGAAGAAGAGGGUAUAUGCUAAGGAGGGAUGGGAUAAAAAUGUGAAGUUAGAGAAUGGUGUGGAAACAUCUAAGAAGAAGAGAACUUUGAUUAGGAAUGGUGAGAAGCGAGUGAAAGAUGAGCCUGAUAAAGGGAACACAGGCCACCUUACAAUGCGGGGUCCCAGUAAGUCAAUGAAUGCCGGAUUGAAGGUGAAGCAAUCGACUCACAUGGGGAAGGAAAGGAAGGAAGAUGUUGCGUUGGUCACUGAUAAACAGAAAGGCAAGGCGAAGGAGGUGGAGAAAAUUGGAUUGGUUGGGGCAGAAGAUCAAGGAAGCCGUUCGGUGAAGAGAGGUAGAGAAAAUAAAACUGAAUUGAGCAAAGGGAAAAACCAAGAAGUUGUAUCUCGUUCAAGUUUUGCCAAGAAAAAAGCCAGAGAUAAAACAGGGUUGGAUGAUGAUGAUGCUGAGAUGCUAGAUGAUCGCCCAAAGAAGAAGAAAAGGGUGAUAAAGAUUGACCCACAUGAUAUCUCAAACAAGAGACUAGAUGAUGGCAUUGGUAUUAAUGGAAGUAAAGAGGAGAAGAAAAAUGAAAAGGAGUCCGAGAAAGAGCCUAAGAUGUCCAAGAAUGCCCAGUUCCGUGCAAUACAGCCUAGCCCUUUAAUACUUUCCUUUGUGGAGAAAAAUCUUUUGGGAAGGAGACGCAUGAUUGACUUAAAAAGGGCAGGUUACAAUAUAGAUCUUUCUGCACCCUUAGAUAAUAUUCCCUUCUCUAGCAGUUCAGAAAGAGAGAAAAUUGAAGAAAAUAUUUUUAGGAAUAAAUUGGAAUUUUUUGCUGCUGCAAAGGUCUCAUCAUCAUUUCCAACUCCUAAUCUUCCAGAGAUUGCAUUUGCUGGAAGGUCAAAUGUCGGGAAGUCAUCUCUUCUUAAUGCACUGACUAGACAAUGGGGGGUUGUGCGGACAUCAGACAAGCCCGGCCUUACACAGACAAUCAACUUCUUCCAGCUGGGAACAAAGCAUUGCUUAGUUGAUUUGCCAGGAUAUGGAUUUGCUUAUGCAAAAGAAGAAGUGAAAGAAUCUUGGGAGGAGCUUGUGAAGGAGUAUGUGUCCACAAGAGUUGGUCUCAAACGAGUAUGCCUGCUGAUUGAUACAAAGUGGGGUAUGAAACCAAGAGAUCUUGAACUAAUUGAAUUAAUGGAAAGAUCAAAAACUAAAUAUCAGAUUGUAUUAACUAAGACAGAUAUGGUCUUUCCAAUUGAUGUGGCAAGACGUGCCAUGCAAAUUGAAGAGAGCCUCUUCCAGAACAAAUCUGUAGUUAAGCCUGUGAUGAUGGUAAGCUCAAAAUCUGGAGCAGGAAUUCGAAGCCUGAGAACGGCCCUAGCCAACAUAACUCGAUUUGCCAGAAGAUUGUAGUAAGGAUUUUUACCACCAAUCCAAACACGCUGUAGAAGUUGUGACCUUAAAAGUGGUUACGAAUCCCCUUUAGUGAGUACUUUGGUGCAACCUUCGUGCCAUCAUCCAUCAUAUUUUGUGUUUUUUUUUCACUGAUGUUUUAUAUAGUCAAGACAGCACAUGGGCAUAGUGAAGUGGAUUCAUUUGUUUGAAGUGCAGACUUCAUUUGCCACGUGCCAGGCCAAACCUUUUUUUUUGCCUCCCAUCUAAUUUUUAGUAGCAUUGCAAGAAAUUAUUUUAUGAUUGUUUUGGGUGUUUUUUAUAUAAUAGCUCAAAUAAUUUUUUUUCUUUGGUCAAAAAGAGUGGGUGCAUGCAUGACAUGCUUACCACUUUAGUUUUCAGCGUGGACCUAACCUUAUUAACUCCCUCAGCCGCCCCACACUUGAUCUAAAUAUUUCUAUUUAUUACUAUUUCCCCUGAGAAAUGGAUUUCAAGGAUCAGCAAUGAAUGCCAUUAACUUGUGGAGCAGUUAAAUUAA